CAACAGCUCAAAUUUGAAAUCUGGCCCUAGGCCCGAGUUGUAAUUUGCAGAGGAUGCUUUUGGUGAGGUGCCUUCCAAGUUCCCUAGAACGGGACGCCAGAGAGGGUGAGAGCCCCGUACAGUUGGACACCAAGCCUUUGUAAAGCUCCUUCGACGAGUCGAGUAGUUUGGGAAUGCUGCUCAAAAUGGGAGGUAUAUUUCUUCUAAAGCUAAAUACCGGCCAGAGACCGAUAGCGCACAAGUAGAGUGAUCGAAAGAUGAAAAGCACUUUGAAAAGAGGGUUAAACAGCACGUGAAAUUGUUAAAAGGGAAGCGCUUGUGACCAGACUUGCGUCCGGUGAAUCACCCAGCUCUCGCGGCUGGGGCACUUCGCCGGCUCAGGCCAGCAUCAGCUCGCUGUCGGGGACAAAAGCUUCAGGAACGUAGCUCUCUUCGGGGAGUGUUAUAGCCUGUUGCACAAUACCCUUCGGCGGGCUGAGGUACGCGCUCCGCAAGGAUGCUGGCAUAAUGGUCAUCAGCGACCCGUCUUG
This 530-nucleotide ribosomal RNA is filed under the name fungal endophyte sp. DM164. RNAcentral's name for it is "eukaryotic LSU rRNA". It matches the Rfam family "Eukaryotic large subunit ribosomal RNA", at positions 102 to 656 of the family's 3401-position model. Lineage: Eukaryota; Fungi. The record is from RNAcentral.